GGACGACGCUGGCGGCGUGCUUAACACAUGCAAGUCGAACGGAAAGGCCCCCACCUUGGUGGGGGUGCUCGAGUGGCGAACGGGUGAGUAACACGUGGGUGAUCUGCCCUGCACUUCGGGAUAAGCUUGGGAAACUGGGUCUAAUACCGGAUAGGACCAUGGUUUAGUGUCUCAUGGUGGAAAAAUUAUUGUUUUGGUGCAGGAUGAGCUCGCGGCCUAUCAGCUUGUUGGUGGGGUAAUGGCCUACCAAGGCGUCGACGGGUAGCCGGCCUGAGAGGGUGGACGGCCACAUUGGGACUGAGAUACGGCCCAGACUCCUACGGGAGGCAGCAGUGGGGAAUAUUGCACAAUGGGCGCAAGCCUGAUGCAGCGACGCCGCGUGGGGGAUGACGGCCUUCGGGUUGUAAACUCCUUUCGUUAGGGACGAAGCCGCACCUUUUUUGGGUGUGGUGACGGUACCUUUGUUAAGAAGCACCGGCUAACUAC
This 486-nucleotide ribosomal RNA is filed under the name uncultured bacterium. Its description in RNAcentral is "bacterial SSU rRNA". It matches the Rfam family "Bacterial small subunit ribosomal RNA", at positions 33 to 504 of the family's 1533-position model. The record is from RNAcentral.